CACCCAACAGCUAGCCCCCCACCUAAAAUCAACUAAUAGCUAUAAAUAAACCCUAAGACAUCAAAGGACUAACUAAACAAAACAUUUUCAACCCUUAGUAUGGGAGACAGAAAAGGGACCCCGGGAGCUAUAGAGAAAGUACCGCAAGGGAAAGCUGAAAGAGAAAUGAAACAAUGCAUUAAAGUAAUAAAAAGCAGAGAUACACUCUCGUACCUUUUGCAUCAUGAUUCAGCAAGCAACCAUUAAGCAAAGAGCCCUUUAGUUUAAUACCCCGAAACUAGCGUGAGCUACUCCAAGACAGCCUACCAAGCAGGGCCUACCCGUAUCUGUAGCAAAAGAUUGGGGAGAGCUUCGAGUAGAGGUGACAAGCCUAUCGAACCUAGUUAUAGCUGGUUGCCUGGGAAAUGAAUAGAAGUUCAGCCCUUUGGCUUAUUUUUUUGAAUACCCCAUAAAUUAAACAUAAAAAGAAACUAAAGGAGUUAUUCAAAGGAGGCACAGCUCCUUUGAAACAAGAUACAACUUUAUUAGGUGAAUAUAGAUCAUAAUACAAGCAAGGCUCAAUGUUCCGGUGGGCUUAAGAGCAGCCACCCGUGUAAGAAAGCGUUAAACCUCAAACAUGCCUACCCUCCCCCAAUCUCGAUAUAUACCUCUCAAUUCCCUUUAAUUACCAGGCCUAUCCAUACUUAUUAUGGAAGCGAUUCUGCUAAAAUGAGUAACAAGAGGGGGCUAGACACCCCUCUCCUUUCACAAGUGUAAGAUCGAUAUGGACCCGCCAUCGUCAAUUAACGGCCCCAAAUUAAAAGAGGGCAAUGGGCACUUAUACUAAACAACAAGAAAUACCCCCAUCAAUUAAACCGUUAACCCCACACUGGUGUGCCUUAAGGAAAGAUUAAAAGGAAAAGAAGGAACUCGGCAAACUUAUCAAGCCCCGCCUGUUUACCAAAAACACCGCCUCUUGCAAAAUCAAUGAAUAAGAGGUCAUGCCUGCCCUGUGACGAAAUGUUUAACGGCCGCGGUAUCUUAACCGUGCAAAGGUAGCGCAAUCACUUGUCUUUUAAAUGGAGACCCGUAUGAAUGGCUAAACGAGGGCCUAACUGUCUCCUUUCCCAAAUCAGUGAAAUUGAUCUCUCCGUGCAGAAGCGGGGAUAAAAACAUAAGACGAGAAGACCCUAUGGAGCUUUAGACACUAAGAUAGCCCCCCUCCCAACCCCUUAAAGGGAUACUAGAGCUUGAAAGACCACUAUCCUAAUGUCUUCGGUUGGGGCGACCGAGGGGGAACACUUAACCCCCAUGCAGAAGUGAAGGCCUCCUUCCAAAAACAAGAGCUACCGCUCUAAUUCUCAGAACCUCUGACUUAUAAUGAUCCGGCAAUGCCGAUCAACGGACCAAGUUACCCUAGGGAUAACAGCGCAAUCCUCUUUAAGAGACCCUAUCGCCAAGAGGGUUUACGACCUCGAUGUUGGAUCAGGACAUCCUAAUGGUGCAGCCGCUAUUAAGGGUUCGUUUGUUCAACGAUUAAUAGUCCUACGUGAUCUGAGUUCAGACCGGAGUAAUCCAGGUCAGUUUCUAUCUAUGCCAUACCCUCUCCUAGUACGAAAGGAUCGGAGAAGGAAGGCCCCUGCUACACCCAUGCCCUAUCCUCAUCUGCUGCCGUUCAAUUAAACAGCCAACUGGAUACCCCCUCCCCCAUAUGAGAGCCAUAUAA
RNAcentral lists this ribosomal RNA (1705 nucleotides) under Parapercis sexfasciata (grubfish). RNAcentral's name for it is "16S ribosomal RNA". The stretch from base 100 to 1593 matches the Rfam family "Bacterial large subunit ribosomal RNA". The record is from RNAcentral. Lineage: Eukaryota; Metazoa; Chordata; Actinopteri; Uranoscopiformes; Pinguipedidae.